Molecule: ribosomal RNA, 497 nt
Filed under: uncultured bacterium
Lineage: Bacteria
Description: partial 16S ribosomal RNA
Rfam family: Bacterial small subunit ribosomal RNA
Source: RNAcentral
GAUGAACGCUGGCGGCGUGCCUAAUACAUGCAAGUCGAGCGAACAGAUGAGGAGCUUGCUCCUCUGACGUUAGCGGCUGACGGGUGAGUAACACGUGGAUAACCUACCUAUAAGACUGGGAUAACUUCGGGAAACCGGAGCUAAUACCGGAUAAUAUAUUGAACCGCAUGGUUCAAUAGUUAAAGACGGUUUUGCUGUCACUUAUAGAUGGAUCCGCGCCGCAUUAGCUAGUUGGUAAGGUAACGGCUUACCAAGGCAACGAUGCGUAGCCGACCUGAGAGGGUGAUCGGCCACACGGGAACUGAGACACGGUCCAGACUCCUACGGGAGGCAGCAGUAGGGAAUCUUCCGCAAUGGGCGAAAGCCUGACGGAGCAACGCCGCGUGAGUGAUGAAGGUCUUCGGAUCGUAAAACUCUGUUAUUAGGGAAGAACAAAUGUGUAAGUAACUAUGCACGUCUUGACGGUACCUAAUCAGAAAGCCACGGCUAACUACGUG